This 460-nucleotide ribosomal RNA is filed under the name uncultured bacterium. Its description in RNAcentral is "partial 16S ribosomal RNA". It matches the Rfam family "Bacterial small subunit ribosomal RNA", at positions 338 to 795 of the family's 1533-position model. The record is from RNAcentral.
CCUACGGGGAGCAGCAGUGAGGAAUAUUGGUCAAUGGGCGCUAGCCUGAACCAGCCAAGUAGCGUGAAGGAUGACUGCCCUAUGGGUUGUAAACUUCUUUUAUAUUGGAAUAAAGUGCAGUAUGUAUACUGCUUUUCAUGUACCCUAUGAAUAAGCAUCGGCUAACUCCGUGCCAGCAGCCGCGGUAAUACGGAGGAUCCGAGCGUUAUCCGGAUUUAUUGGGUUUAAAGGGAGCGUAGGCGGAGUGUUAAGUCAGUUGUGAAAGUUUGCGGCUCAACCGUAAAAUUGCAGUUGAUACUGGCGUCCUUGAGUACAGAAGAGGUAGGCGGAAUUCGUGGUGUAGCGGUGAAAUGCUUAGAUAUCACGAAGAACUCCGAUUGCGAAGGCAGCUUGCUGGACUGUAACUGACGCUGAUGCUCGAAAGUGUGGGUAUCAAACAGGAUUAGAUACCCUUGUAGUC